AGCAGCCGCGGUAAUUCCAGCUCCAAUAGCGUAUAUUAAAGUUGUUGCAGUUAAAAAGCUCGUAGUUGAAUUUCGGGGUUAGUAGAUUGGUCAUGCCUCUGGUAUGCACUGGUCUUACUGAUUCCCCCUUCCUGAUGAACCGUAAUGCCAUUAAUUUGGUGUUACGGGGAGUCAGGACUGUUACUUUGAAAAAAUUAGAGUGUUUAAAGCAGGCAAUCGCUUGAAUACAUUAGCAUGGAAUAAUGAAAUAGGACGUUCGAACCUAUUUUGUUGGUUUUUAGGAUCGACGUAAUGAUUAAUAGGGAUAGUUGGGGGCAUUAGUAUUCAAUUGUCAGAGGUGAAAUUCUUGGAUUUAUUGAAGACUAACUACUGCGAAAGCAUUUGCCAAGGAUGUUUUCAUUAAUCAAGAACGAAAGUUAGGGGAUCGAAGGCGAUCAGAUACCGUCGUAGUCUUAACCAUAAACUAUGCCGACUAGGGAUCGGAUGAUGUUAAUUUUAUAAUGACUCA
This 508-nucleotide ribosomal RNA is filed under the name uncultured Rhizophagus. Its description in RNAcentral is "SSU rRNA". It matches the Rfam family "Eukaryotic small subunit ribosomal RNA", at positions 569 to 1078 of the family's 1831-position model. Lineage: Eukaryota; Fungi; Glomeromycota; Glomeromycetes; Glomerales; Glomeraceae. The record is from RNAcentral.